GCAGCAGUAGGGAAUUUUCGGCAAUGGACGGAAGUCUGACCGAGCAACGCCGCGUGAAUGAUGAAGUAUUUCGGUAUGUAAAGUUCUUUUAUUUGGGAAGAAAAAACAAAUUGACGGUACCAAAUGAAUAAGCCCCGGCUAACUACGUGCCAGCAGCCGCGGUAAUACGUAGGGGGCAAGCGUUAUCCGGAAUUAUUGGGCGUAAAGGGUGCGUAGGCGGGUUAUCAAGUCUUUGGUUAAAAUGCGGUGCUCAACGCCGUAGUGCCAAAGAAACUGAUAGUCUAGAGUAUGGUAGAAGUGAGUGGAACUCCAUGUGUAGCGGUAAAAUGCGUAAAUAUAUGGAAGAACACCAGUGGCGAAGGCGGCUCACUAGGCCAAUACUGACGCUGAGACACGAAAGCGUGGGGAGCAAACAGGAUUAGAUACCCUGGUAGUCCACGCCCUAAACGAUGAGUACUAAGUGUAGCCAGAAGGCUGUGCUGAAGUUAACGCAUUAAGUACUCCGCCUGAGUAGUACGUACGCAAGUAUGAAACUUAAAGGAAUUGACGGGAUCCCGCACAAGCGGUGGAGCAUGUUGUUUAAUUCGACGAUACGCGAAGAACCUUACCAGGUCUUGACAUACUCGGCAAAUCUAUAGAGAUAUAGAGGAGGUUAACCGGGAUACAGGUGGUGCAUGGUUGUCGUCAGCUCGUGUCGUGAGAUGUUAGGUUAAGUCCUGCAACGAGCGCAACCCUUAUUGCUAGUUACCAUCAUUAAGUUGGGGACUCUAGCGAGACUGCCGGUGAUAAACCGGAGGAAGGCGGGGAUGACGUCAAAUCAUCAUGCCCUUUAUGACCUGGGCUACAAACGUGCUACAAUGGCUGACACAAAGAGAAGCGAGCUCGCGAGAGUAAGCAAACCUCAGAAAAGCAGUCUCAGUUCGGAUUGAAGUCUGCAACUCGACUUCAUGAAGUUGGAAUCGCUAGUAAUCGCGAAGCAGAGUGUCGCGGUGAAUACGUUCCCGGGAUUUGUACACACCGCCCGUCAA
RNAcentral lists this ribosomal RNA (1028 nucleotides) under human gut metagenome. RNAcentral describes it as "bacterial SSU rRNA". It matches the Rfam family "Bacterial small subunit ribosomal RNA", at positions 348 to 1400 of the family's 1533-position model. The record is from RNAcentral.